RNAcentral lists this ribosomal RNA (982 nucleotides) under human gut metagenome. RNAcentral describes it as "bacterial LSU rRNA". It matches the Rfam family "Bacterial large subunit ribosomal RNA", at positions 1945 to 2925 of the family's 2925-position model. The record is from RNAcentral.
ACGGUCCUAAGGUAGCGAAAUUCCUUGUCAGGUAAGUUCUGACCCGCACGAAAGGCGUAAUGAUUUGGGCGCUGUCUCGACAAUGUACUCGGCGAAAUUGUAGUACUAGUGAAGAUGCUAGUUACCUGCGACAAGACAGAAAGACCCCAUGGAGCUUUACUGUAGCUUGAUACUGGGUUUCGAUAAUUUAUGUACAGGAUAGGUGGGAUGCAAAGAAGCAAGUGCGCCAGCAUUUGUGGAGCAGACGUUGGGAUACCACCCUUAAGUUAUUGGAAUUCUAACCUGUAGUCAUGAACUGGCUAGGGGACAAUGUCAGGCGGGCAGUUUGACUGGGGCGGUCGCCUCCAAAAGAGUAACGGAGGCGCGCAAAGGUUUCCUCAGCGCGGACAGAAAUCGCGCGAAAGAGUGCAAAGGCAGAAGGAAGCUUAACUGAGAGACUGACAAGUCGACCAGAUACGAAAGUAGGUCUUAGUGAUCCGGCGGUAGUGAGUGGAAAUGCCGUCGCUCAACGGACAAAAGUUACCCUGGGGAUAACAGGCUUAUCUCCCCCAAGAGUUCACAUCGACGGGGAGGUUUGGCACCUCGAUGUCGGCUCAUCGCAUCCUGGAGCUGAAGUCGGUUCCAAGGGUUGGGCUGUUCGCCCAUUAAAGCGGUACGCGAGCUGGGUUCAGAACGUCGUGAGACAGUUCGGUCCUUAUCUGUCGCAGGCGUAGGAUAUUUGAAGGGAGCUGUCCUUAGUACGAGAGGACCAGGAUGGACAUACCGAUGGUGUAUCAGUUGUCACACCAGUGGCACGGCUGAGUAGCUAAGUAUGGAAGGGAUAAACGCUGAAAGCAUCUAAGUGUGAAGCCCACCUUAAGAUAAGAUAUCCCAUUGCGUAAGCAAGUAAGAUCCCAUGAAGACUACAUGGUAGAUAGGUUGGGGGUGUAAGUACAGUAAUGUAUUAAGCUGACCAAUACUAAUAGAUCGAGGGCUUAACCAC